This 29-nucleotide small RNA is filed under the name Bombyx mori (domestic silkworm). RNAcentral describes it as "ovarian small RNA-18757". The record is from RNAcentral. Lineage: Eukaryota; Metazoa; Arthropoda; Insecta; Lepidoptera; Bombycidae.
UAACCUACACCUAAGCCUAAGCCUAGGAC